Molecule: ribosomal RNA, 497 nt
Filed under: uncultured bacterium
Lineage: Bacteria
Description: partial 16S ribosomal RNA
Rfam family: Bacterial small subunit ribosomal RNA
Source: RNAcentral
GACGAACGCUGGCGGCGUGCCUAAUACAUGCAAGUUGAGCGAUGAAGAUUGGUGCUUGCACCAAUUUGAAGAGCAGCGAACGGGUGAGUAACGCGUGGGGAAUCUGCCUUUGAGCGGGGGACAACAUUUGGAAACGAAUGCUAAUACCGCAUAACAACUUUAAACAUAAGUUUUAAGUUUGAAAGAUGCAAUUGCAUCACUCAAAGAUGAUCCCGCGUUGUAUUAGCUAGUUGGUGAGGUAAAGGCUCACCAAGGCGAUGAUACAUAGCCGACCUGAGAGGGUGAUCGUCCACAUUGGGACUGAGACACGGCCCAAACUCCUACGGGAGGCAGCAGUAGGGAAUCUUCGGCAAUGGACGAAAGUCUGACCGAGCAACGCCGCGUGAGUGAAGAAGGUUUUCGGAUCGUAAAACUCUGUUGGUAGAGAAGAACGUUGGUGAGAGUGGAAAGCUCAUCAAGUGACGGUAACUACCCAGAAAGGGACGGCUAACUACGUG